UACAGAGGUCUCGAGCGUUAGGCGGAAUCACUGGGCUUAAAGCGUGUGUAGGCGGAUCGUUAAGUGCCUUGUGAAAUCCCACGGCUCAACCGUGGAACUGCUUGGCAUACUGGCGGUCUUGAGCAACCUAGGGGCGAGCGGAACAAAUGGUGGAGCGGUGAAAUGCGUGGAUAUCAUUUGGAACGCCAAUGGUGAAAACAGCUCGCUGGGGGUUUGCUGACGCUGAGACACGAAAGCCAGGGGAGCAAACGGG
RNAcentral lists this ribosomal RNA (253 nucleotides) under uncultured bacterium. RNAcentral's name for it is "partial 16S ribosomal RNA". It matches the Rfam family "Bacterial small subunit ribosomal RNA", at positions 524 to 776 of the family's 1533-position model. The record is from RNAcentral.